GAGUUUGAUCAUGGCUCAGGAUGAACGCUGGCGGCGUGCUUAACACAUGCAAGUCGAACGGAGUGCUCAUGACGGAGGAUUCGUCCAACGGAUUGAGUUACUUAGUGGCGGACGGGUGAGUAACGCGUGAGGAACCUGCCUCGGAGUGGGGAAUAACACAACGAAAGCUGUGCUAAUACCGCAUGAUGCAGCUGGGUCGCAUGACUCUGGCUGCCAAAGAUUUAUCGCUCUGAGAUGGCCUCGCGUCUGAUUAGCUGGUUGGCGGGGUAGCGGCCCACCAAGGCGACGAUCAGUAGCCGGACUGAGAGGUUGGCCGGCCACAUUGGGACUGAGACACGGCCCAGACUCCUACGGGAGCAGCAGUGGGAAUAUUGGGCAAUGGGCGCAAGCCUGACCCAGCAACGCCGCGUGAAGGAGAAGGCCCUCGGGUUGUAAACUUCUUUUGUCAGGGACGAAGCAAGUGACGGUACCUGACGAAUAAGCCACGGCUAACU
Molecule: ribosomal RNA, 494 nt
Filed under: uncultured bacterium
Lineage: Bacteria
Description: bacterial SSU rRNA
Rfam family: Bacterial small subunit ribosomal RNA
Source: RNAcentral